CCGGCCGCAAGAUUAGAUUUCCUUUGAGGGUCGUUGUAGACUACGACGUUGAUAGGCUGCAGGUGUAAAGGCGGUGACGUCAAAGCCGAGCAGUACUAAUUGCCCGAAUUUUUCCUUGUG
This 120-nucleotide ribosomal RNA is filed under the name Bacteroidaceae bacterium. Its description in RNAcentral is "partial 23S ribosomal RNA". It matches the Rfam family "Bacterial large subunit ribosomal RNA", at positions 2793 to 2925 of the family's 2925-position model. The record is from RNAcentral. Lineage: Bacteria; Pseudomonadati; Bacteroidota; Bacteroidia; Bacteroidales; Bacteroidaceae.